ACGUACACUCCUACGGGAGGCAGCAGUGGGGAAUAUUGGACAAUGGGCGCAAGCCUGAUCCAGCCAUGCCGCGUGAGUGAUGAAGGCCCUAGGGUUGUAAAGCUCUUUCACCGGAGAAGAUAAUGACGGUAUCCGGAGAAGAAGCCCCGGCUAACUUCGUGCCAGCAGCCGCGGUAAUACGAAGGGGGCUAGCGUUGUUCGGAAUUACUGGGCGUAAAGCGCACGUAGGCGGAUCGAUCAGUCAGGGGUGAAAUCCCAGGGCUCAACCCUGGAACUGCCUUUGAUACUGUCGAUCUGGAGUAUGGAAGAGGUGAGUGGAAUUCCGAGUGUAGAGGUGAAAUUCGUAGAUAUUCGGAGGAACACCAGUGGCGAAGGCGGCUCACUGGUCCAUUACUGACGCUGAGGUGCGAAAGCGUGGGGAGCAAACAGGAUUAGAAACCCGGGUAGUCCCAUG
RNAcentral lists this ribosomal RNA (454 nucleotides) under uncultured organism. RNAcentral's name for it is "partial 16S ribosomal RNA". It matches the Rfam family "Bacterial small subunit ribosomal RNA", at positions 329 to 799 of the family's 1533-position model. The record is from RNAcentral.